Molecule: ribosomal RNA, 255 nt
Filed under: Enterococcus faecium
Lineage: Bacteria; Bacillati; Bacillota; Bacilli; Lactobacillales; Enterococcaceae
Description: partial 23S ribosomal RNA
Rfam family: Bacterial large subunit ribosomal RNA
Source: RNAcentral
AGACGCAGAGAACUGAAACAUCUAAGUACCUGCAGGAAGAGAAAGAAAAUUCGAUUCCCUGAGUAGCGGCGAGCGAAACGGGAAAAGCCCAAACCAACAAGCUUGCUUGUUGGGGUUGUAGGACUCCAAUAUGGUCGUUCUUUCAGAUAGUCGAAUGACUUGGAAAAGUCAGUCAAAGAGGGUAAAAACCCCGUAGACGAAAUGUGGAAGACACCUAGGAGGAUCCUGAGUACGGCGGAACACGAGAAAUUCCGU